AUUACCGCGGCUGCUGGCACGGAGUUAGCCGGUGCUUCCUUUAGCGGUACCGUCAAGUAUCAUGGAUAUUAGCCACGAUACAUUUCUUCCCACUCGACAGAGCUUUACGGUCCGAAAACCUUCCUCACUCACGCGGCGUUGCUGCGUCAGGGUUGCCCCCAUUGCGCAAUAUUCCUCACUGCUGCCUCCCGUAGG
This 195-nucleotide ribosomal RNA is filed under the name uncultured bacterium. Its description in RNAcentral is "partial 16S ribosomal RNA". The record is from RNAcentral.